Long non-coding RNA from Antechinus flavipes (yellow-footed antechinus), 1028 nucleotides. RefSeq lists it as uncharacterized. NCBI's taxonomy places the organism in Eukaryota, Metazoa, Chordata, Mammalia, Dasyuromorphia, Dasyuridae. The transcript is spliced from 3 exons. The record is from RefSeq and is a predicted model, not a curated record.
GCUUCUGGAUGCACUGAGAUGUCUCAGUAAAACUAGGGGUGGAGAGGAGAGGCAAUGGACAAGUUAAAAUCAGCCAUCAGUGGGAGAAGGCUGCAGAGGCUCAGUUCCUCUUCAAGGUUUGGGCCCACCCAAACCAACUAGAUCUAAGUUUGGGAUUUGGCUUAGGGUUGAAGGAGGUUGGUCCUAGAAGGAAAGUGAGAAGAAAUCUUAUGUAAACUUCCUAGAGACUAGGGCACUAAAGCUGGUGGGAAUGGGAAUAAUAUCAAAUUGGAUAGAAGCCACUGUUUGUAUUUUUCAAUUUUUUUUAUUUUUUAUUUUUAUUUUUAUUUUUUAAGGACUCAGAUUUCCCUCCCUUCCCUCCCUUCCUUUUUUUUUCUCUUAAGAAAGAAGAUUGAUUUACAGCUUUGGAACAUUUCCCCAUGAAAAUCCUGGGAGCAAAUGAUCCUCAAAGGAUGGAGGCCAAGUAAACUUUGAAAAUCUGAGAUGAUCAUUAGCAUAGCUUCAUGAUUUCCUUUCUCUUUUCUUCAGCUGUCCCAUGUCUCAGCUAUAUGACCUCGGAGAUGCUUAGGAGAGGAAGGAGGAAUCUCUUCAGAAAUGAAGAUGACAUGAAAAUGAAAUUUGUCAACACAAGUUUAAAAUAAUGAAGAAAAAAAAAGAACUCUGGAGAAGGAAAGAAAAGGAAAAAAAAACUCCAAAUAAUUGAGGAUGAACUACCUUGGGAAGACAUGGGCCUAGUAAUGAUCCAGUUCAUCUGUGCCCCAGUGUGACAGGGACAGUGAUGGAACCUUCCUGAUUCACUAUAGAAAAAGGAUCAACAACCAAAGCCAGCCCUUGAUUUUAGGCCCCAAGGCCCUUUCAUACAGGACUCACCUUCGUCCUCACCAUGGCUAAGUUAGUUAAGGGAGGUUAAUUAUAAGACAUUGGAUUUAAUUGCUACCCAAAAAGUCCAGUUCAGCUCAGUCCUGUUUUGCUCAAUAUUUUAAAACUAAAAUAAAACAUUUACAAUACAAAAAAGUGUUUCCAGAGUC